UUAAAUUAAAUAUAGCUUAAAAAAGUUUACCCGAAGUAAAAAGAGCUAACUAUAAAUUAUAGUAAUUUUAGCCUACUACUCUGAUCUUUAGUGUAGCAAAACUAAUACGAAAAAUUAUAGUUAGGGGUGAAAGGCUUACCAAUUUUUAUUUAUAUCUGGAUGGGACCCAAAAGUAUGUAGUAUUAGAAAACAGACUUAUAGUGAUAAGGUUAUAAGUAUGGAAAAUUUUUCAACACAUUAUGGUAUACCCCGUUUUAUUAAUAUAAAACCGAGUACUUCCUUAAAAAAUAAGUUAUGAAAUAAUAUUUCUAAAACUAGGUUCGACAAGUAAGAAUUAAAACAAAAUCUAAGACUUAAAUAAUGUUUAAAUGAGUAUAGUUAAUCAAAAAAUAGUAAGGAACUCGGCAAAUGUAUGCCUUCAACUGUUUAUCAAAAACAUAGCCACAUGAUAUUUUAAUAUCUGGUGACUUCUGCCCAGUGAAUUUUUUUAACGGCCGCAGUACACUGACUGUGCAAAGGUAGCAUAAUAAUUUGGCUUUUAAUUGAAGUCGGGAAUGAAUGAAGUAAUGGGGGUGAGCUAUCUAAAUAUUUUUUACUAAAAUUUACUUAAGAAGUGAAAAUUCUUCUGUGAUACAAUAAAAGACGAGAAGACCCUAUAAAUUUUUAUUAAAAAGAAACUUUGUACCUCUUUAAAUUUUUGUUGGGGCAACAUAUUAUCAGUUAUUAUAUUAAAAUACUUGAAAUAAUAGUUCAAUUAAAUGUAACGAAUUUAUAUUAAUCACAAAGAAAUUACUUUAGGGAUAACAGCAUAAUUAUAUUAUAUAGUUUGUGACCUCGAUGUUGGAUUAGGGUUUAGUUAAAUCAACCAUUUAAUUAGUACGGUUCUGUUCGAACCUUUUCCCCU
Molecule: ribosomal RNA, 904 nt
Filed under: Laciniaria plicata plicata
Lineage: Eukaryota; Metazoa; Mollusca; Gastropoda; Stylommatophora; Clausiliidae
Description: partial 16S ribosomal RNA
Source: RNAcentral